Non-coding RNA from Cinara cedri, 782 nucleotides. The record is from the annotation of a GenBank genome assembly. Lineage: Eukaryota; Metazoa; Arthropoda; Insecta; Hemiptera; Aphididae.
UACGCUCAAAAAAUCAAUUGGUUUUUUUUAAUAAAAUUAGGUGAUUUGUUUUCAGAUGUCGAAUUAAUUUUGAAGGUUUCAUACUUUCUUGGGAUAGAACUUGAAAGUAAACAACACAUUGCGGCUUAUUAUCAAGUGAAAUAAACCCAUACUUCAAAUACUCGUUGUUAUAUGACCUGAAUUUUUUUUUCGCUGGUUCGCCAGAAGUAGCGGAGCAUUACGUUUUAUUAUAUAUUUAUCCAUAAUCAUUAAUUCAAAUUACACAAAACUAAAAAGACGCACUAAAAACCAACUUAAUAAUCGCAAUAUCACGACCCGAUACAAACUUGAUAAGCUUAAGUUACUAGAUAUGGUAUUUAUAAAUUGAUAUUUAAAAUGUUAUAUUUCGUUUGGUUAAUGAUAGGAUAUUUUUACUGUUUAAAUUUUUACCUAACCUUGAUAGAGGGGGGGGGGUGGUCGCGAAGUGAUUGACUAUAUUUUAUACCUAUUUUGGGGAUCGCGACACUAAAAAGGUUGAAAAACGAUGCUUUAUACUAAGUCGAUCAAAGAUUUAGGUGGCUUUGUCUGUAAUAGUAUCAAAUAUUUUGUUCUACGUAUAUUUUAAAAUGUGAUUAAUAUGAAGAACUGCGAGUUAAAAAUGUAAAACCAAUAUUAUUAAAUAACUUAAUUUAGAUAUAAAUUGUAUUAAUUAAAAAUAAAUAAAAGUCUUCAAUUAUGUAUCAAUUUCAUAAUACAUAUUGUAUAAUGACUACAACAUAAAUUGUUAAAAUAAAUCUAUUGAU